Anastrepha ludens (Mexican fruit fly) is the source of this 1388-nucleotide long non-coding RNA. RefSeq lists it as uncharacterized. The record is from RefSeq and is a predicted model, not a curated record. The transcript is spliced from 4 exons. Lineage: Eukaryota; Metazoa; Arthropoda; Insecta; Diptera; Tephritidae.
UUUAGUAUAAUGCCGAUCGCUUUGGAAAAAACGGUAAAAAGGGGGUGAUAGAGGGGUGUAUCCCCAUCUUAAAACUGAAAACAGAACCUGCCGGAGGCUUAUAGUUUUUAAGUAAUUUAAUGUUAAAGUUCUAUAAUUUAGCGAAAAGUUGGUGUUGCCAUACACCUGAAAUGAAAACGAAGUUCGCACGCAGGGAUGUUCAGUGGAAGGUUCAUUGUAAAACUGCAGUAUUUUUUGCUGUAAUUUAAAGUUGAGAAAUGAAUUUGAAAAUAAAAACAUACAACUCAUUUAAACUUAAAAACAAUGAUAUUAAGCGUAUCACAAAAAAUAAUAAAGUAAUUAAAUUGAUUAACACAGUAUUUUUGCGUGGAACUCUUUAUCGCGUAGGCGGCCUUCGGCCGCGCUUCAAAAAAAUAACCCUCAUCAGUCCAACUCCGGCUACGCAAUCCACAGUAUUUUUGCGUAGAACUCCUUUUCGCGUGGGCGGCCUUCGGCCGCACUUCAAAAAAAUAACCCUCAUCAGUCCAACUCCGGCUACGCAAUGCACAGUAUUUUUGCGUAAAACUCCUUUCCGUGUUAAAACCAUUGAACCCAAAAUUAAAACGUCAUAUGCGUGUAUGUAGUAAGCAGGCACAAUAACCCCCAUUCCCAUCAUUAACACUAAACUCAAGUACUUAAUUUUUGUUUUCAUUUGCAGGCAUCCGGCAACACCAUACUGUUGUAAUUCCAAUCUUCUUCUUGUUCGCGCUUAAAAUUGGAAUGUGAUUGCAUAGGCAAAUGAAUUUGCAUUUAAUUUUAAUAGAUAUAAUUGGAAUAUUAGCAUAAAAAUCGGUACAAACACGCGUGUGAGUGUAUAUUUGGUGAUUUAUAGUGAAAUGUUAAAAAAUAUAGAGUGUAAUGUGGCAAAUUAUACUGAUGUUCCCAAGGGCAUUUUGAAUCCGACCUCGAUGUUCCAGAGAGAGAAAAUAAUGGGUAAAGGACAACUCUGCCAAUUGUACAAUCGGAUGCAACGCGAACUACUAUAUGUAUACGCUAUUCCAGAAAGUCGGAGAUUUGUUUUUUCGUGCGCCUACGUUUGAAACCAGUCAUUUGCUUUAGUAAUUGGGAAUUUUCAUCAUCCAUAUCCAUGCUGGGCUCCCACAAGCGCAGACGUCUCGAGCUCUGUGUGCAAGGAAUCGGCCGUAAAGAGAGCUCUGAUCGAAUUCAGUACUAUCGGGAUUGGGAUCUUUUGGGAUUGACUUUGCUGCUUCUAAACACUCUCUCAUUAAUUUGAUUUAGUAUAUUUGUAUGUUUCAUUAUAUAUAUUUUGUUAUUUUUAAGACAAUAUUUUGUGUUAUUAUGACAAUUUGUUUUUGUUGACUAAUUUCUACUUCAAUAAAUAAAUAAAG